GACGAACGCUGGCGGCGUGCCUAAUACAUGCAAGUUGAGCGCUGAAGGUUGGUACUUGUACCAACUGGAUGAGCAGCGAACGGGUGAGUAACGCGUGGGGAAUCUGCCUUUGAGCGGGGGACAACAUUUGGAAACGAAUGCUAAUACCGCAUAAAAACUUUAAACACAAGUUUUAAGUUUGAAAGAUGCAAUUGCAUCACUCAAAGAUGAUCCCGCGUUGUAUUAGCUAGUUGGUGAGGUAAAGGCUCACCAAGGCGAUGAUACAUAGCCGACCUGAGAGGGGAGUGGGCCACAUUGGGACUGGGACACGGCCCAAACUCCUGCGGGGGGCGGCAGUAGGGGAUCUUCGGCAAUGGACGAAAGUCUGACCGAGCAACGCCGCGUGAGUGAAGAAGGUUUUCGGAUCGUAAAACUCUGUUGGUAGAGAAGAACGUUGGUGAGAGUGGAAAGCGCAUCAAGUGACGGUAACUACCCAGAAAGGGACGGCUAACUACGUG
RNAcentral lists this ribosomal RNA (497 nucleotides) under uncultured bacterium. RNAcentral's name for it is "partial 16S ribosomal RNA". It matches the Rfam family "Bacterial small subunit ribosomal RNA", at positions 28 to 507 of the family's 1533-position model. The record is from RNAcentral.